AACGAACGCUGGCGGCAUGCCUAACACAUGCAAGUCGAACGAGACCUUCGGGUCUAGUGGCGCACGGGUGCGUAACGCGUGGGAACCUGCCCUUAGGUUCGGAAUAACUCCCCGAAAGGGGUGCUAAUACCGGAUAAUGUCUUCGGACCAAAGAGUUAUCGCCUUUGGAUGGGCCCGCGUUGGAUUAGCUAGUUGGUAGGGUAAAAGCCUACCAAGGCGACGAUCCAUAGCUGGUCUGAGAGGAUGAUCAGCCACACUGGGACUGAGACACGGCCCAGACUCCUACGGGAGGCAGCAGUGGGGAAUAUUGGACUAUGGGCGACAGCCUGAUCCAGCAAUGCCGCGUGAGUGAUGAAGGCCUUAGGGUUGUAACUCUCUUUUACCCGGGAUGCUAAUGACAGUACCGUGAGAAUAAGCUCCGGCUAACUCCGUG
Molecule: ribosomal RNA, 433 nt
Filed under: uncultured bacterium
Lineage: Bacteria
Description: partial 16S ribosomal RNA
Rfam family: Bacterial small subunit ribosomal RNA
Source: RNAcentral